This 436-nucleotide ribosomal RNA is filed under the name uncultured bacterium. RNAcentral's name for it is "partial 16S ribosomal RNA". It matches the Rfam family "Bacterial small subunit ribosomal RNA", at positions 29 to 507 of the family's 1533-position model. The record is from RNAcentral.
AGCGAACGCUGGCGGCAGGCUUAACACAUGCAAGUCGAGCGGGCAUCCUUGUGGUGUCAGCGGCAGACGGGUGAGUAACGCGUGGGAACGUGCCCUUCGGUUCGGAAUAACUCAGGGAAACUUGAGCUAAUACCGGAUACGCCCUUUUGUGGAAAGGUUUACUGCCGAAGGAUCGGCCCGCGUCUGAUUAGCUAGUUGGUGAGGUUAUGGCUCACCAAGGCGACGAUCAGUAGCUGGUCUGAGAGGAUGAUCAGCCACACUGGGACUGAGACACGGCCCAGACUCCUACGGGAGGCAGCAGUGGGGAAUAUUGGACAAUGGGGGCAACCCUGAUCCAGCCAUGCCGCGUGAGUGAUGACGGCCUUAGGGUUGUAAAGCUCUUUUCUCCGGGACGAUAAUGACGGUACCGGAGGAAUAAGCCCCGGCUAACUUCGUG